GUUCUAGCGCAUUCCCUUCAUGCCUACGCGCAUGCGCAGUCGUACAUGGGAGCACUAGGUAUUAAUUUGGCCAAACAGCGGGUGAUAAAAUGCAUAAACUAAAAUCCUCACAAAAGGACAAGGUACGGCAGUUCAUGUCCUUCACUCAAGCCGGGGAGAAGACCGCCGUAUACUGCCUCACUCAAAAUGACUGGAAACUAGAGGUGGCCACCGACAACUACUUUCAGAACCCAGAUUUGUACCACAAGGAAUCCAUGAAAAGCUCAGUGGACCGAAAAAAGCUGGAUCAGCUCUACAAUCGAUAUAAAGAUCCCCAAGAUGAGAAUAAGAUUGGAAUAGAUGGAAUUCAACAGUUCUGUGAUGACCUCAAUCUGGAUCCAGCAAGCAUCAGUGUUCUGGUUGUGGCAUGGAAGUUUCGUGCGGCAACACAGUGCGAAUUCAGCAAGAAAGAGUUCAUUGAUGGCAUGACAGAGCUAGGGUGUGACAGUCCAGAGAAACUCCGAGCUCUUCUGCCCAGAUUAGAACAGGAUCUGAAAGACAGUGGAAAGUUCAAAGAUUUCUAUCAAUUUACUUUCAACUUUGCCAAAAAUCCUGGACAAAAAGGUUUAGAUUUAGAGAUGGCAGUAGCUUAUUGGAACCUGGUGCUGGCUGGACGUUUUAAGUUCCUAGACCUCUGGAACAGAUUUUUAUUGGUAACUCUGUUUCUGUUUUGAAGCUUGUUGUAGAGUUAUUCUGGCGCAACUUCACAAAACCAACAAGGUGCUUGGAAAAAGAAAGAAGAGUAAAAUUGAAAAGCAAAUCCAGCAGCACUUGUGGAGUGGAGAAUAAUUAAAACUGUAUUUUGCCAACACAUUUCGGCAUCUAGGCCUUCAUCAGUGCUAAAACAAUACAUGUGGAGAAUAAAAAGUUUUAAUUAUUCUCCACUCCACAUGUGCUGCUGGAUUUGCUUUUCAAUUUUACUCUGUUUUGAAGCUUUACAGGAUUGGAUCUUUGACCCUCUUUAGCAAUGGAUACAGAUUAAAAUGGGUUUUCUGGUUUCUACGCAACACAUUAAGUACAGCCUCUAUUUUCUUGAAUCAGACCAAUAAAUAGAGUAUUACCCAAAAAGCUUGUAGGUAGAAUCAUUUUCUUUAGUAAUGAAUUGAGUUUCUCUUUAGUCUGUGCCUUCAUUUUGUGCAGGAGCAUCAUAAGCGAUCAAUUCCCAAAGACACAUGGAAUUUGCUUCUGGAUUUUGGCAAUAUGAUUGCAGAUGACAUGUCAAACUAUGAUGAAGAAGGAGCAUGGCCUGUUCUCAUUGAUGACUUUGUGGAAUACGCUCGACCUGUCGU
Molecule: RNA transcript, 1328 nt
Organism: Myxocyprinus asiaticus (Chinese sucker)
Lineage: Eukaryota; Metazoa; Chordata; Actinopteri; Cypriniformes; Catostomidae
Gene name: DCN1-like protein 2
Exons: 6
Source: RefSeq, a predicted model, not a curated record